AACGAACGCUGGCGGCAUGCCUAACACAUGCAAGUCGAACGAGACCUUCGGGUCUAGUGGCGCACGGCUGCGUAACGCGUGGGAACCUGCCCUUAGGUUCGGAAUAACUCCCCGAAAGGGGUGCUAAUACCGGAUAAUGUCUUCGGACCAAAGAUUUAUCGCCUUUGGAUGGGCCCGCGUUGGAUUAGCUAGUUGGUAGGGUAAAAGCCUACCAAGGCGACGAUCCAUAGCUGGUCUCAGAGGAUGAUCAGCCACACUGGGACUGAGACACGGCCCAGACUCCUACGGGAGGCAGCAGUGGGGAAUAUUGGACAGUGGGCGAAAGCCUGAUCCAGCAAUGCCGCGUGAGUGAUGAAGGCCUUAGGGUUGUAAAGCUCUUUUACCCGGGAUGAUAAUGACAGUACCGGGAGAAUAAGCUCCGGCUAACUCCGUG
RNAcentral lists this ribosomal RNA (433 nucleotides) under uncultured bacterium. Its description in RNAcentral is "partial 16S ribosomal RNA". It matches the Rfam family "Bacterial small subunit ribosomal RNA", at positions 29 to 507 of the family's 1533-position model. The record is from RNAcentral.